This is a long non-coding RNA of Gossypium raimondii (Peruvian cotton), 434 nucleotides long. RefSeq lists it as uncharacterized. The record is from RefSeq and is a predicted model, not a curated record. NCBI's taxonomy places the organism in Eukaryota, Viridiplantae, Streptophyta, Magnoliopsida, Malvales, Malvaceae. The transcript is spliced from 2 exons.
CCUCUUUGACGUUCUUGAAAAUUAUUAAUUGUCCCCAAUUAUCGAAAAGAUGCCAAAUGGAUACUGGUUUGGACUGUCCUAAUAUUGCUCACAUUGAACGCAUUUGGAUUGAAGAUGGAGGCAUUGUGGAAACUGGCAGGGGUUUUUGAGAGUGAAGAGGCACAAAACUGUGGUGCUAUAUGCAAAGGCAUGGAGUUGAGCGAUGUUGGUGUUUCUAGGCUUGGUGGUGAUACUGUUUCUCCAUUCUUUAUUAUGCUUUGUUGUAUUCCUUUUGGUGUGUUUUAGACUUUAACUUUGGACUUGUUUUUGUUGUUGUUGGGUGGUUUCUUCUGAUCUGCUCCUUUGUUUCUACUUUCUUUUGCCUUUGGACUAUGCUGUCUUUUGUUCCACGGCAUCUCUAUACUUAUGCUUAGCUAAAAAUGUAUGUUUGUACA